AUACGGAGGGUGCGAGCGUUAAUCGGAAUUACUGGGCGUAAAGCGUGCGUAGGCGGUUUGUUAAGUCAGAAGAGAAAGCCCUGGGCUCAACCUGGGAACGGCUUUUGAGACUGGCAGACUAGAGUUGAGUAGAGGGGAGUGGAAUUUCCGGUGUAGCGGUGAAAUGCGUAGAGAUCGGAAGGAACACCAGUGGCGAAGGCGACUCCCUGGACUCAAACUGACGCUGAGGUACGAAAGCGUGGGUAGCAAACAGGAUUAGAAACCCUAGUAGUCC
RNAcentral lists this ribosomal RNA (274 nucleotides) under uncultured bacterium. RNAcentral describes it as "partial 16S ribosomal RNA". It matches the Rfam family "Bacterial small subunit ribosomal RNA", at positions 523 to 796 of the family's 1533-position model. The record is from RNAcentral.